UGCCGAUUAGUGUAACGGUAGCACACCUGACUCUGACUCAGUUUGUCCGGGUUCAAAUCCUGGAUCGGCAGCCA
This 74-nucleotide transfer RNA is filed under the name Bacillota bacterium. RNAcentral's name for it is "tRNA-Gln". It matches the Rfam family "tRNA". Rfam says of the family: Transfer RNA (tRNA) molecules are approximately 80 nucleotides in length. Their secondary structure includes four short double-helical elements and three loops (D, anti-codon, and T loops). RNAcentral also lists the same sequence under 7 other names. Lineage: Bacteria; Bacillati; Bacillota. The record is from RNAcentral.